This 468-nucleotide ribosomal RNA is filed under the name uncultured bacterium. RNAcentral's name for it is "partial 16S ribosomal RNA". It matches the Rfam family "Bacterial small subunit ribosomal RNA", at positions 28 to 507 of the family's 1533-position model. The record is from RNAcentral.
GACGAACGCUGGCGGCGUGCUUAACACAUGCAAGUCGAACGGAAAGGCUCUGCUUUUGUGGGGUGCUCGAGUGGCGAACGGGUGAGUAACACGUGAGUAACCUGCCCUUGACUUUGGGAUAACUUCAGGAAACUGGGGCUAAUACCGGAUAGGAGCUCCUGCUGCAUGGUGGGGGUUGGAAAGUUUCGGCGGUUGGGGAUGGACUCGCGGCUUAUCAGCUUGUUGGUGGGGUAGUGGCUUACCAAGGCUUUGACGGGUAGCCGGCCUGAGAGGGUGACCGGCCACAUUGGGACUGAGAUACGGCCCAGACUCCUACGGGAGGCAGCAGCGGGGAAUAUUGCACAAUGGGCGGAAGCCUGAUGCAGCAACGCCGCGUGCGGGAUGACGGCCUUCGGGUUGUAAACCGCUUUCGCCUGUGACGAAGCGUGAGUGACGGUAAUGGGUAAAGAAGCACCGGCUAACUACGUG